This 497-nucleotide ribosomal RNA is filed under the name uncultured bacterium. Its description in RNAcentral is "partial 16S ribosomal RNA". It matches the Rfam family "Bacterial small subunit ribosomal RNA", at positions 28 to 507 of the family's 1533-position model. The record is from RNAcentral.
GAUGAACGCUGGCGGCGUGCCUAAUACAUGCAAGUCGAGCGAACAGAUGAGGAGCUUGCUCCUCUGACGUUAGCGGCGGACGGGUGAGUAACACGUGGAUAACCUACCUAUAAGACUGGGAUAACUUCGGGAAACCGGAGCUAAUACCGGAUAAUAUAUUGAACCGCAUGGUUCAAUAGUGAAAGACGGUUUUGCUGUCACUUAUAGAUGGAUCCGCGCCGCAUUAGCUAGUUGGUAAGGUAACGGCUUACCAAGGCAACGAUGCGUAGCCGACCUGAGAGGGUGAUCGGCCACACUGGAACUGAGACACGGUCCAGACUCCUACGGGAGGCAGCAAUAGGGAAUCUGCCGCAAAGGGCGAAAGCCCGACGGAGCAACGCCGCGUGAGUGAUGAAGGUCUUCGGAUCGUAAAACUCUGUUAUUAGGGAAGAACAAAUGUGUAAGUAACUAUGCACGUCUUGACGGUACCUAAUCAGAAAGCCACGGCUAACUACGUG